Molecule: ribosomal RNA, 253 nt
Filed under: uncultured bacterium
Lineage: Bacteria
Description: partial 16S ribosomal RNA
Rfam family: Bacterial small subunit ribosomal RNA
Source: RNAcentral
GACAGAGGUGCCGAGCGUUAGGCGGAAUCACUGGGCUUAAAGCGUGUGUAGGCGGAUCGUUAAGUACCUUGUGAAAUCCCACGGCUUAACCGUGGAACUGCUGGGUAUACUGGCGAUCUUGAGCCACCUAGGGGCAACCGGAACAAAUGGUGGAGCGGUGAAAUGCGUAGAUAUCUGGAGGAACACCGGUGGCGAAGGCGGCAUCCUGGACCAAUAUUGACGCUGAGGAGCGAAAGCCAGGGGAGCAAACGGG